UACGGAGGGCGCGAGCGUUAAUCGGAAUUACUGGGCGUAAAGCGCGCGUAGGCUGUUGUGUAAGUUGGGGGUGAAAUCCCACGGCUCAACCGUGGAACAGCCCUUGAUACUGCGCGACUUGGAUCCGGGAGAGGGUGGCGGAAUUCCAGGUGUAGGAGUGAAAUCCGUAGAUAUCUGGAGGAACAUCAGUGGCGAAGGCGGCCACCUGGACCGGUAUUGACGCUGAGGCGCGAAAGCGUGGGGAGCAAACAGG
Molecule: ribosomal RNA, 253 nt
Filed under: uncultured bacterium
Lineage: Bacteria
Description: partial 16S ribosomal RNA
Rfam family: Bacterial small subunit ribosomal RNA
Source: RNAcentral